GGCGCAUAGUUCAAAUGGCAGAACAACGGUAUCGCCCAUGACUGUAAAUUCUGGUUCAAAUCCAGAUGUAGCCGCUCA
Molecule: transfer RNA, 78 nt
Filed under: Caudoviricetes sp.
Lineage: Duplodnaviria; Heunggongvirae; Uroviricota; Caudoviricetes
Description: tRNA-OTHER
Rfam family: tRNA
About the family: Transfer RNA (tRNA) molecules are approximately 80 nucleotides in length. Their secondary structure includes four short double-helical elements and three loops (D, anti-codon, and T loops).
Source: RNAcentral